UUCUUUAUCCAUACAACAGUUCUGUAUCGCAGCGAUCCCUUCCGCCUUCCAUGAAGGCGUGUUAGGUUGAUUGCUGCGACGAUCGGCCCAUCGCGCGGAGAUAUUAUCUUUCCCAUUAAUGUCUUUUUUCCCGGUCGACAGAACUGAGAUCAACGCGAGACCUUUUUGUUCUCCCUUUCGGGGGAGAACCGGUCCGCCUUGAGCUCAUCC
RNAcentral lists this non-coding RNA (210 nucleotides) under Exophiala dermatitidis NIH/UT8656. Lineage: Eukaryota; Fungi; Ascomycota; Eurotiomycetes; Chaetothyriales; Herpotrichiellaceae. The record is from Rfam by way of RNAcentral.